GUACACAUGGAAAAUUUGAAAAAGAUAAAAAUAUGGUGAAUCUAUUAAGAAUAGAAGUGAAGUAAUAAGAUAAAUUUAAAAGUAAAAAAUACAAAUAUGAUAAUAGUCACUUUGUAGCUAUACUACAUUCUGGAAACUAGUAUACUCUUUUCAUUUACGGAACCAGCAUUGUGAUUGUGUUGCCCGGCAAUGCAAUGGCAUAAUGGUCUUAGCUUUCAGUACCAUGAGAAGACUUGAGUAAUACAAUUAUAAUCAAGUGAUUAUCUGGCUUGGUCUUUUGAACACAAACC
RNAcentral lists this long non-coding RNA (290 nucleotides) under Mytilus galloprovincialis (Mediterranean mussel). The record is from RNAcentral. Lineage: Eukaryota; Metazoa; Mollusca; Bivalvia; Mytilida; Mytilidae.